This 1619-nucleotide ribosomal RNA is filed under the name Staphylococcus aureus UCIM6053. RNAcentral's name for it is "bacterial LSU rRNA". It matches the Rfam family "Bacterial large subunit ribosomal RNA", at positions 1307 to 2925 of the family's 2925-position model. Lineage: Bacteria; Bacillati; Bacillota; Bacilli; Caryophanales; Staphylococcaceae. RNAcentral also lists the same sequence under 1 other name. The record is from RNAcentral.
UAGCGAAAGACGGGUGAGAAUCCCGUCCACCGAUUGACUAAGGUUUCCAGAGGAAGGCUCGUCCGCUCUGGGUUAGUCGGGUCCUAAGCUGAGGCUGACAGGCGUAGGCGAUGGAUAACAGGUUGAUAUUCCUGUACCACCUAUAAUCGUUUUAAUCGAUGGGGGGACGCAGUAGGAUAGGCGAAGCGUGCGAUUGGAUUGCACGUCUAAGCAGUAAGGCUGAGUAUUAGGCAAAUCCGGUACUCGUUAAGGCUGAGCUGUGAUGGGGAGAAGACAUUGUGUCUUCGAGUCGUUGAUUUCACACUGCCGAGAAAAGCCUCUAGAUAGAAAAUAGGUGCCCGUACCGCAAACCGACACAGGUAGUCAAGAUGAGAAUUCUAAGGUGAGCGAGCGAACUCUCGUUAAGGAACUCGGCAAAAUGACCCCGUAACUUCGGGAGAAGGGGUGCUCUUUAGGGUUAACGCCCAGAAGAGCCGCAGUGAAUAGGCCCAAGCGACUGUUUAUCAAAAACACAGGUCUCUGCUAAACCGUAAGGUGAUGUAUAGGGGCUGACGCCUGCCCGGUGCUGGAAGGUUAAGAGGAGUGGUUAGCUUCUGCGAAGCUACGAAUCGAAGCCCCAGUAAACGGCGGCCGUAACUAUAACGGUCCUAAGGUAGCGAAAUUCCUUGUCGGGUAAGUUCCGACCCGCACGAAAGGCGUAACGAUUUGGGCACUGUCUCAACGAGAGACUCGGUGAAAUCAUAGUACCUGUGAAGAUGCAGGUUACCCGCGACAGGACGGAAAGACCCCGUGGAGCUUUACUGUAGCCUGAUAUUGAAAUUCGGCACAGCUUGUACAGGAUAGGUAGGAGCCUUUGAAACGUGAGCGCUAGCUUACGUGGAGGCGCUGGUGGGAUACUACCCUAGCUGUGUUGGCUUUCUAACCCGCACCACUUAUCGUGGUGGGAGACAGUGUCAGGCGGGCAGUUUGACUGGGGCGGUCGCCUCCUAAAAGGUAACGGAGGCGCUCAAAGGUUCCCUCAGAAUGGUUGGAAAUCAUUCAUAGAGUGUAAAGGCAUAAGGGAGCUUGACUGCGAGACCUACAAGUCGAGCAGGGUCGAAAGACGGACUUAGUGAUCCGGUGGUUCCGCAUGGAAGGGCCAUCGCUCAACGGAUAAAAGCUACCCCGGGGAUAACAGGCUUAUCUCCCCCAAGAGUUCACAUCGACGGGGAGGUUUGGCACCUCGAUGUCGGCUCAUCGCAUCCUGGGGCUGUAGUCGGUCCCAAGGGUUGGGCUGUUCGCCCAUUAAAGCGGUACGCGAGCUGGGUUCAGAACGUCGUGAGACAGUUCGGUCCCUAUCCGUCGUGGGCGUAGGAAAUUUGAGAGGAGCUGUCCUUAGUACGAGAGGACCGGGAUGGACAUACCUCUGGUGUACCAGUUGUCGUGCCAACGGCAUAGCUGGGUAGCUAUGUGUGGACGGGAUAAGUGCUGAAAGCAUCUAAGCAUGAAGCCCCCCUCAAGAUGAGAUUUCCCAACUUCGGUUAUAAGAUCCCUCAAAGAUGAUGAGGUUAAUAGGUUCGAGGUGGAAGCAUGGUGACAUGUGGAGCUGACGAAUACUAAUCGAUCGAAGACUUAAUCAA